AGUGAACGCUGGCGGUAGGCCUAACACAUGCAAGUCGAACGGCAGCACAGUAAGAGCUUGCUCUUACGGGUGGCGAGUGGCGGACGGGUGAGGAAUACAUCGGAAUCUACUUUUUCGUGGGGGAUAACGUAGGGAAACUUACGCUAAUACCGCAUACGACCUACGGGUGAAAGCAGGGGAUCUUCGGACCUUGCGCGAUUGAAUGAGCCGAUGUCGGAUUAGCUAGUUGGCGGGGUAAAGGCCCACCAAGGCGACGAUCCGUAGCUGGUCUGAGAGGAUGAUCAGCCACAAUGGAACGGGACAACGGUCCAGACUCCUACGGGAGGCAGCAGUGGGGAAUAUUGGAAAAUGGACGCAAGCCUAAUCCAGCCAUACCGCGUGGGUGAAGAAGGCCUUCGGGUUGUAAAGCCCUUUUGUUGGGAAAGAAAAGCAGCAGGUUAAUACCCCGCUGUUCUGACGGUACCCAAAGAAUAAGCACCGGCUAACUUCGUG
RNAcentral lists this ribosomal RNA (492 nucleotides) under uncultured bacterium. Its description in RNAcentral is "partial 16S ribosomal RNA". It matches the Rfam family "Bacterial small subunit ribosomal RNA", at positions 29 to 507 of the family's 1533-position model. The record is from RNAcentral.